Molecule: ribosomal RNA, 460 nt
Filed under: uncultured bacterium
Lineage: Bacteria
Description: partial 16S ribosomal RNA
Rfam family: Bacterial small subunit ribosomal RNA
Source: RNAcentral
CCUACGGAGGGCUGCAGUGAGGAAUAUUGGUCAAUGGGCGGAAGCCUGAACCAGCCAAGUAGCGUGCAGGAUGACGGCCCUACGGGUUGUAAACUGCUUUUAUACGGGAAUAACGCGCCUUACGUGUAGGGCUUUGCAUGUACCGUAUGAAUAAGGACCGGCUAAUUCCGUGCCAGCAGCCGCGGUAAUACGGAAGGUCCGGGCGUUAUCCGGAUUUAUUGGGUUUAAAGGGAGCGUAGGCCGCAUGUCAAGCGUGCUGUGAAAUGUCCGGGCUCAACCCGGGCCUUGCAGCGCGAACUGGCGUGCUUGAGUCCGCGGAAAGCAGGCGGAAUUCGUCGUGUAGCGGUGAAAUGCUUAGAUAUGACGAAGAACCCCGAUUGCGAAGGCAGCUUGCUGCAGCGGAACUGACGCUGAUGCUCGAAAGCGCGGGUAUCGAACAGGAUUAGAUACCCUUGUAGUC